Molecule: ribosomal RNA, 477 nt
Filed under: uncultured organism
Description: partial 16S ribosomal RNA
Rfam family: Bacterial small subunit ribosomal RNA
Source: RNAcentral
UACACUCCUGCGGGAGGCAGCAGUGGGGAAUUUUGGACAAUGGGCGAAAGCCUGAUCCAGCAAUGCCGCGUGCAGGAUGAAGGCCUUCGGGUUGUAAACUGCUUUUGUACGGAACGAAAAAGCUCCUUCUAAUACAGGGGGCCCAUGACGGUACCGUAAGAAUAAGCACCGGCUAACUACGUGCCAGCAGCCGCGGUAAUACGUAGGGUGCGAGCGUUAAUCGGAAUUACUGGGCGUAAAGCGUGCGCAGGCGGUUAUGUAAGACAGAUGUGAAAUCCCCGGGCUCAACCUGGGAACUGCAUUUGUGACUGCAUGGCUAGAGUACGGUAGAGGGGGAUGGAAUUCCGCGUGUAGCAGUGAAAUGCGUAGAUAUGCGGAGGAACACCGAUGGCGAAGGCAAUCCCCUGGACCUGUACUGACGCUCAUGCACGAAAGCGUGGGGAGCAAACAGGAUUAGAAACCCUAGUAGUCCCAUGA